RNAcentral lists this ribosomal RNA (336 nucleotides) under Triticum aestivum (bread wheat). RNAcentral describes it as "partial small subunit ribosomal RNA". The record is from RNAcentral. Lineage: Eukaryota; Viridiplantae; Streptophyta; Magnoliopsida; Poales; Poaceae.
AUGGACAACAAGAUGCAAAAAGCUAGGUCACACACUGUAGUCGCCAUCGGUAAUCAAGAAAGAAGGUUUGAGGUCCGCUUAGCCAACAACAAAUUCGGAUGUGCAAAUGAGUUGAGGACGCAUGAGGUGAAAAUUGGCAAUGAAGCCUGGCCAACGUGUGAGUGCACAUGCAAUAAACCAAAAUUGCUUCACCUACCUUGCUCACAUGUACUUGCUGCUUGCGGGCAGCUUGGAAUGGACGCAAUAUCGUUUGUGUCUCCAUAUUUUCUGAAAGAGGCUGUCCUCAAUACCUGGACAGGUGAGCUGAUGGGUUUUCGAUCAAUGGGUAAUUUCAGC